GMAGAACSUUACCCACCUUUGACAUGGCAGGAAGUUUCCAGAGAUGGAUUCGUGCUCGAAAGAGAACCUGCACACAGGUGCUGCAUGGCUGUCGUCAGCUCGUGUYGWGAGRUGKUGGGUUAAGUCCCGCAACGAGCGCAACCCUUGUCAUUAGUUGCUACAUUCAGUUGAGCACUCUAAUGAGACUGCCGGUGACAAACCGGAGGAAGGUGGGGAUGACGUCAAGUCCUCAUGGCCCUUAUAGGUGGGGCURCACACGUCAUACAAUGGCUGGUACAGAGGGUUGCCAACCCGCGAGGGSGAGCUAAYCCCAUWAAACCWRYCGUAGUCCGGAUCGCAGUCUGCAACUCGACUGCGUGAAGUCGGAAUCGCUAGUAAUCGCGGAUCAGCAUGCCGCGGUGAAUACGUUCCCGGGUCUUGUAC
RNAcentral lists this ribosomal RNA (423 nucleotides) under Delftia lacustris. RNAcentral's name for it is "partial 16S ribosomal RNA". Lineage: Bacteria; Pseudomonadati; Pseudomonadota; Betaproteobacteria; Burkholderiales; Comamonadaceae. The record is from RNAcentral.